GGAAGGUCAGAGGGGCUGAGGGAUGGCAGCUGACACAUGCCCCCAGCUCUGUGCCGCCCCUGUGCACUGUGUGUGUGACACCCACCCCCGUCCCUGCAUGUGCCAGCGUCUGCCCACAGUGGCCACCCCCAGCUGUGUGCCAGUCUGCUGAAGGGCGGGCAGAGUGCCUGCUGUAGCGCUGAGCUAUUUUCAGAAGCUGCCAGAUUUCAUUUGGCAGCAAGAAUAUCAGAGAGGGGAGGGGACAGGAUGCUGGAAGACUGUCUUUUCACUACUGCAGUAAGAGAGAACCCUCACCCCUCAGGAGCCCUUGCGGGCAGCCUCAAGGGGGCCCUUACUGUGGCAUUUCUCCCCCAGCUUCAAUCUUGAAACCUCCAAGUUUUCCAAGAGCUCAUCUGGCUCAGGCAGCACUCCCUCCUCCGCCCUCACUUCCCUCAGGGCUUGGAGGAGGGCACAGAGAUGUUAGAAGGCAGGGCAUAGGCAAGCGCUCCAGAGAUGUUUUGCUAUUUCCCAGCCUGGUGACCUUGGACAAGUCCCUCAGCUUUUCUGGCCUCCAUUUCCUCAACUAUGUACUGGAAAGGAGAUUGCCCACCUCGGGAUGUCAUCUGGGGGAUUUGGGCAGAUGAUAUGUGUGAAGUACUUAGUGGGUACCUGAUAAGUGGCUUAUACCCAAACCCCAUUAGCUACCCCAGUAACCUUACCAUCAGGAAGGAGAGAAGUAAGUACCUAGUAUCUGAGAGAAAAGGCAGUCCUGCCUCAAAUCUACCCCUAGGACUUUCCAUCCAGAAAAUUAGGCCUCUACUCAUGGACCUUUAUCUCUGAGCUUCAAAGGAGGGUGGCCAGAUGAAUUAUUUGAGGUUCCCCUUGGAAGUGGUUCAGGCCAACCUUCCUAGCAUACCCUUUAAGUCUGGCAAAAUGCUGGCCAGAUGCAAAGUUAUAUAUAUAGUCCAUCUAGUGACAGAGCUGUAGAAGUGCAGAUGGACUCUCUCAUCUGGCUCCUGAGCACCCACUGUGCCUGGGACUUGUGCUGGGUACAAAGAAAGCAGCUAUGGAACCUGCAGACAAGGUUCUUACCUCAAGGAGUUUAUAUUCAUGAUGGAGACAGAUAAAACAUACAAAUAUGUAUCAAAUUAUGGCCGUGAUAUAGUCUAUGAAGGAAGGACAUGGCUCACAGAGAAAGGGUGUCAUGGGACAAUCUAAGUCAAAAGAGAAUUGAAGCACCUCAGAGACCAGGGCAUGUGCUGAUAGGCUACAGAAUUGGAUGUAGAAUAUCUGAGACCAGGGUCUCAGGGACAGAGAGACUAUGCUCUAGGGUUCUAUUGGCCCCUCAACUCUGCCAGUCUGUGCUUCUUCCAGGGGCUGGCCUUGAGCCUCCAAUGCACUAGUCUUCUCCACAGGCAAGAACACAUCUGUAGAAGUCUCAUAGGGUCUCUCAUCUGCUCAGGUGUCCACAUGCCAGUCCUGGGGAAGGAUUCUUAUUGAUUAGACUUAGCUUGUUGCUAUUGCGGGGAAGGGACCAUGUCCCUUCCUCUGUUGUAGAGGUAGUCAGCAGGGGAGAAGAUAGAAGGAUUGCCCCCUUAUAUUCCAUGUCUUCUGGAUCACUUCCAAGAGCCCAUGAGGAUUGUGACCCAGGGACAAACCCAGCCCAAAGCCUACCCCCCUCAUCUCUGGCAUUAGAUGCAGUUCUCACAAGCCUAGACUUGGAGGUUGGAUGCCCUGCCAAGUCACACUCAUUAUAACAUCUCUGAAAUGGGAACAAAUCUUCUGAUAAUCAGCCAGUAUCAGGUGAGCUAAACCCAGGUAGCCACACAUUCACAUCAGCUAAUCCAGACAUACAGGCAUUUGCACACGCUCCAUAGUGGCUUUGCAGGGAGGUUUCACUUAAGGAUUACACACAAAC
RNAcentral lists this long non-coding RNA (1897 nucleotides) under Marmota monax (woodchuck). Lineage: Eukaryota; Metazoa; Chordata; Mammalia; Rodentia; Sciuridae. The record is from RNAcentral.